AAUGAAGUGCCUGAAUAAAGGACUAUUGUGAUAGAAUAGAUAAUGUAAAUAAUUACCUUCAUUA
Molecule: transfer RNA, 64 nt
Filed under: Margattea limbata
Lineage: Eukaryota; Metazoa; Arthropoda; Insecta; Blattodea; Pseudophyllodromiidae
Description: tRNA-Ile
Source: RNAcentral